Molecule: non-coding RNA, 76 nt
Organism: Cladorrhinum sp. PSN332
Lineage: Eukaryota; Fungi; Ascomycota; Sordariomycetes; Sordariales; Podosporaceae
Source: the annotation of a GenBank genome assembly
GCGCCAGUGGUAUUAGUGGCAAAAUCCAUCCAUCGCUGCCAUCGAUGGGCCCCGCGUUCGAUUCGCGGCUGACGCA